RNAcentral lists this ribosomal RNA (309 nucleotides) under uncultured eukaryote. RNAcentral describes it as "partial 18S ribosomal RNA". It matches the Rfam family "Eukaryotic small subunit ribosomal RNA", at positions 1470 to 1796 of the family's 1831-position model. The record is from RNAcentral.
CCCUUAGAUGUUCUGGGCGGCCCGCGCACUACAUUGGCACUGGCAACAAGAUCCUAGAUCUGAUAUUUCGGGGUAUUCUACCAACUGGUGUCGUGACUGGGAUUAACCCCUGCAAUUAUUGGUUAUGAACGAGGAAUUCCUUGUAAUCACGGUUUAUCAACCCGUGUUGAAUGCGUCCCUGCCCUUUGUACACACCGCCCGUCGCUCCUACCGAUGAAUCGUCCGGUGAAGUUCAUGGAGUCGCGGCUGCUCCAGCUGUUUUCGAAGUGAAAUGGACCUCNUNAUUUAUNGGAAGGAGAANUCGUANCA